This is a long non-coding RNA of Osmia lignaria (orchard mason bee), 1449 nucleotides long. RefSeq lists it as uncharacterized. NCBI's taxonomy places the organism in Eukaryota, Metazoa, Arthropoda, Insecta, Hymenoptera, Megachilidae. The record is from RefSeq and is a predicted model, not a curated record.
UGCAUUGUUGAGCUGGGAGCGAAAGAUUAUUGUAUGGGGACAAUGAACGAUUUCUAUUCGUCGAAUGGCUUAUAAAAAGAAUUUUAAUAAAGAAAUAUGUUCUCUGAGAAUAUUAAUAGAAUUGAACCAAAAAUCGACGAGUUAAUUCUCAUCCAAUGAACCUAAACGGAAGUGAAUCGGAAUCAGGAGCAGCGUCGUAAGAAAGAAUCGUAAUCGAAAGCUGCAGGUACGAUGGACGCGAGUUGUUCGAAGCGGUUGCUUAACAGCGGAGCAGCGUAACGGAGCUGAUGUCGGUGAUUUAUGCGCCGUUUCGAGGUGAGCAAUCGCAAAAUUGCUAGUCGCAGGGCCCCCGACUGGCAUAACUGAUUGCUCGAAGCGUUACGGUAUCCCUCUGAUGUCCUUCCUUCCUUCCUUCCUAACAGCCUGCCCUACCUACACUAACCCUCAAAACCAUGGGGACCACCUAUUGAUAAUGAGCAGGCUGUGUAUCCACCUACGUACCAACUGGACAAGUUCUACUCGAUGAUCGCUUAGACACCGAUUCGUGUGGGCAUGAGAUCGUGAACAGCGAUUUGUGGCUUGUUCGAUCGACAAUGAGCACUGUAACGGCUUCUCGAUUCUUCUGUUAUGGCAAGAAAUUCUCAGAAGAAUAUCCUUAGGGGUUCCUGACUCACCUCAACGAGAAUUAAGGAGACAGUAAUUUCAUAUGCGUUUUCGAGAAACGAUUCGCAUAGUCUGGCUGAAGGCAACAAGGUCGACGUUCAAUGGCAGUAGGUGUCCCAGGAGGCCGACAAAUAAAGCAAAAUGCUACAGCAAAGGCGUGCCCGGACCACGGUUGGUCACAAAGGCACCGAAAACGGAAAGGGGCUUCAUUAAAAAUGCACCAGCAACGUCGGUGCGAGCACUGUCUCCAGGAACAAUGCGUGCACGAAAUAUGCGUCAAGAGAUACGAAUUCGCUGGCGUAACCGUUGCUGCGAAAAGUGUUACUGAAAAAUACAUCGAGUCUGGAAAUUUUUGCAGAAGAAACGAAAUAGGAUUCUUCCAAACCUCUAAACCUAUAUAAUAAUGUAUCGAGGACAAAAAUAACAAUUUGACUUUUGACUACGAUUAGCUAUAUAACAAUUUUUAUUUUUAUUAUCUAUUUUAAAAUUUGCGAUAAUGAUUACCUACACAAAAAUUUAAUUUUGAUCUUCUUUUAGCGUUGCUAAUUAUUGUAAUUUAAUUUCACAUACCUAUAAACGAACAAAAAUAGCACUAGACCCUACAGCAAUAAGUAACAAUUAGUAGGUACCAUAUAAGCAAAUUUGGGGUGUAUCUCCAGCCGUUUCGAGCCACAUGGGACCCGGGUAGCUUAUAAUGGGAUGCAAGUUUUUCGUUUUAACCCGCGGGCCAGUUUAGGCCCGUGGAGCUUCCUCUUGGAAUUUAUCGGCCAUCCGAAUCGCGGACCA